CCUUUGUACACACCGCCCGUCGCUACUACCGAUUGAAUGGCUCAGUGAGGCUUUCGGACUGACUCCAGGAGGUCGGCAACGACCACCCAGAGAUGGAAAGUUAGUCAAACUUGGUCAUUUAGAGG
Molecule: ribosomal RNA, 125 nt
Filed under: Sphaerographium tenuirostrum
Lineage: Eukaryota; Fungi; Ascomycota; Leotiomycetes; Chaetomellales; Chaetomellaceae
Description: partial small subunit ribosomal RNA
Rfam family: Eukaryotic small subunit ribosomal RNA
Source: RNAcentral